Molecule: long non-coding RNA, 398 nt
Filed under: Nicotiana benthamiana
Lineage: Eukaryota; Viridiplantae; Streptophyta; Magnoliopsida; Solanales; Solanaceae
Description: long non-coding RNA (NBEN_LNC005868)
Source: RNAcentral
UUUUUGAUAUGUGUGCAAAUUUUUAGAUCAUUCCGAGGUGAUUAGGUCGGGUUUUGGAGCAAAUGCAAGUUUCGGAAGUUUUAGUUUAACUUAGACUUGAUCCGUGGUAAUUUGAUGAUUUUGAUGUUUAUGAUAGUGUUUUUAUGUAACGAGCAAGUUUGAAUGAGGUAAUAGAAUAUGUCUGUGCUUUUGGUUGAGGCCCCAAGGGCCUCGGGGUGAUUUCGGAUGGCUAACGGGAAUUUUUGGAAUGAAAAAGUGCAGCUGAAAUUGCAGAGCAGAAAUAGCCCUCUGCGAUCGCGAGCCUGGGGCUGGGAUCACAUAGAAGGUUCUAAGGGGGGUGCUAGUUUGGUCUCUGCGAUCGCGUAUCUUGGUCUGCAAUCACGUAGGCUAGAGUGGUG